This 310-nucleotide long non-coding RNA is filed under the name Mytilus galloprovincialis (Mediterranean mussel). The record is from RNAcentral. Lineage: Eukaryota; Metazoa; Mollusca; Bivalvia; Mytilida; Mytilidae.
GGUUUUAGGUUAGCUUGUUUUAUUGUCAUUGUCACUGUUGUAUAACAUGUUCAAUAAUAAAUGUAAUUGCCUUGUAUAUUAUGAAUUCAAAUAAUUUUUUAUUUUUUUUGGUAUUGGGGAGGGUGUCACUGUGGGUGGGUGUGUUUUCUCAAUGAUUGGUAAUACAUUACUAAUUAUACCAUUAUCUCAAAGCUCACACUUCUUCAGCUAGAUUAUAAUAGCUCACUAGAGCUUGUGUUACUUUGUUUACAUUGUAUCAUAUUUAGUUGCACUAUUUGUGAAAAUAAAGUAAAAAACUUUUAGCUAUUUC